CGCGCCUGCGCGUUCAGCCAGUUGUCGCGCCGACCCUGCGGACGCGCUCGUUGCCUUCGCGGCGCCGUGGCCCUGAGAUGUGCAGCUGCAGGGCUUGCUGGUUCCAGGGGCCAGGGACCAUAAAGAGUUGUUGGGAGCUCCGGGCAGAAGAUUCCCUACUGCACUCACUACAUACACUGAACCCUCACCUACUGUUCUGUUUAAUGGGCCACUAGGAAGCCAGUUCUUCUUUUUGCUUCUUGCUUACUCUGUUGCAUAGGUGAAUAAAGGCUUGAUUAUUACUUUCAAUUUGGCUCAUUGUCCUGAUUGCCUACCUUGAAUUGCUCACCAGAUAUAAGAUAAAUUGCCUAACAGAAAUUAGAUAAAUUUCUGAGUUCUUAGUUGCUCACUGUAUUUUUUAAUUUAAUCUUAAUCCUUAUUACUUUUGCUCUGUGCAGCAUGCUUAGCUUUUUUAGAGGCUGUUCACCUGUAAAUCUGGCAUUCUCUAAUAGUGCUGUGAAAAAUGGAUGUUCAUCGCACUAACCACUAACUGUUGUGAUGAUUGAUUGUUGUUGGAUUAUAUGUUGUGUUUUACAAAUUAGUACAGUGAUUAUAGUCAUUCGCAUUUAUUUGUGUGGCUCAUUUUACAUUUGGCCUCUCUUAGAUGAUUUUUAAAUAAGUACUUUGGAGUAAUACAAAUACUAAAAAACUGGACACUGAUGCCCAGGAUCUUUAUUGCCUAAUAGAUUACUUGGCCACUGUAAAUAGGCAACUGAUUUUGUUAUAGAUUCCCCUGUGUGUCAAGAGGUAUGGUAGG
This 796-nucleotide long non-coding RNA is filed under the name Cavia porcellus (domestic guinea pig). RNAcentral describes it as "lncRNA (ENSCPOG00000037741.1)". The record is from RNAcentral. Lineage: Eukaryota; Metazoa; Chordata; Mammalia; Rodentia; Caviidae.